CUAAAUCAAUCCCAUUCAUAGCUUCAAUGGCCUCUUCCAUUGCAAUCUUUUCAUCAAAGGAGACAAAUCCGAAGCCACGAGAGCGUCUAGAGAACUUAUCAACAGCCACCUACAAAUACAUACAACCACUUGCAUGAAAGAGUCCAUUCCUAUAAUAUAUAUGAAGUGUUGAAAUGAAUUUCAAACAUAACAUAAAAUCAUAAUUCGUAACUACCGAACAGUAGAGACAGGGCUUGUACAACAGCCACUCUAUGUCAGUAAUCUUAGCAAUUGAGUCUAUUCAAGCAUAUUUUCUCAAGAAAAUAACGAAUCAAAAAGAAAAAGAAAAUAUUACGUCCACCCCUGAUCAUCUUCCCAAGAGAAGAGAAAGAAAGAAACAAAACAAGCGGACAUGUUCGACUAGAUAACCCGAUAAAUAAAAUGCUCAUCAGAACUAUCUUACAACCACUUUCCUUUUUUAUUAUCAUUUUUUCAGAGCACAGGUCUGGCCAUCUGGGAAGAUAGCCAUGCUCUACCACCGCUAUAAAUUAUCGAAGUAUGGUCUGGAAAACGUUCGUACUUUCAUCACCAGAAAUAACAAUAACAAAUGGAUAUUAAUGUGAAUGGAUAUAGUAAUAUUUCCGUAAUAGUAACAAAAGAGAUAAAAGCCUAUAACAAAGUCUCAAAAGGUUUCAAAGUGAAGGUAUCUUUCGUAAACCAGAUUAAAUUUUCCGAUGAAACCAACUAUCUAUUAUAAGAUGAAAAAAGCUUACGAAAAAAAUCAAAAGAAUAUAACAGUGAAUCAAGUAUAUGAUUUCAAAAUCAUAUCAAAUGAUUACCUUUGCAUCGAGAAUAUGGCCAAACUUGUCAAAUGCUUUUUUUAGAUCUCAAUCUGAGGUUGACCAUGAGAGGCCACCAAUGAAACAGCGAUAUUCAACUUCAUCUGACAUGAUUCAAACUGUUCCUUUUCUAAAAAGAAAAGAGGGAGAGAGGAAAGUCAAAUUUACAACUGAUAUCAUAGACAAAGGUAUGUCAAUCACUCAAAUCUAUUAUUACCAUAUUAAGAUCACUUCAAAACUUAUACAAAGCAUUCCAAUUUGGACGAAAGGAAAUUAGCUAUCAAGUAUAGAGUUAAUUCAGAAGUAUUUUUGCUCGAGGUGCAAAUCAUUAUCAUUGCCAUUGGCCAUUGAUUUCGUGGAGGUUGUUGCCAAAUUGAAAGUUUCAAAAGGUUUGCUUGCCUCUUAGACUCCUCCUGAUGACUCCCAUCGUUUCAAUGUAUAUAAAUAAGCAUGAAACAAACAAGGAAUGCAUCUACCAUCUAUUCUCUGAUCGGAUUAAUAUCUCUACACUUUACAGAAAUAGUUAAAACCUAUAUUCUUAGACAUAGUGAAUCAAAGGCAACCCAAUCACUUUCCCUCUCAUGAGACAUAAAUAGAUUGCUGUGAAACUUUUUCUCCCUCUCAUGAGUUGUGCAAAAUGCUUUCAUAAUUUGUUCAAUAAUUAGCUCCUUCCCAAAAAAUUAUCACACAUGCCUAUAUGAUUAACAACAUCUCUUCUCGUGCCAUGAGAAACCUUUUAUCUUCUUGACAAAAUUCAGAUUUUCUUGAAGUGAACAUCUACAUCACUAUUCAAUACCAAGUACCAUACCAAAGCAUGGUAAUCAUAAAAAACAUCCAUUCAGUAACAAAUACAAGGAUAAAUAUAAAUUUUAGACAGCGAUUCUAUGUAUGACAUAACCCCGUCAUUCCCUACAUAACCAUCAAUACAACAAUUACAGACAAAAACAAUCACAGAUGUAAGUUAUACUACGAGAUUACACAAAUAUACUAGAAGGUUAAAACGUUUUUACACCUGCAAAAGCAGAAUCGAACCCUAGACGUAAUUUUCUCCAAAAUUCUACGUAUCUUCGAUAAAAUCUAGGU
This 1901-nucleotide long non-coding RNA is filed under the name Olea europaea subsp. europaea. Lineage: Eukaryota; Viridiplantae; Streptophyta; Magnoliopsida; Lamiales; Oleaceae. The record is from RNAcentral.